Molecule: long non-coding RNA, 209 nt
Filed under: Fukomys damarensis (Damara mole-rat)
Lineage: Eukaryota; Metazoa; Chordata; Mammalia; Rodentia; Bathyergidae
Description: lncRNA (ENSFDAG00000024621.1)
Source: RNAcentral
UGGAAACAGAGGACAUGGGAAGGACAUGGUGAGAACCUCAUUAAACUGGGACAAGAAGUUGUCAGAGGAACUUGGGUCCUUCUGGUUUCUGGUAAUCACCGCUGUUCUCGUCAGGGAAGCUCUGAUCUUCACCUGGAGCAUCACUUCCUGACUCCAAUGCAGAUCCCUCAGCCUGUUGGCACAAAUCCUUCACCCUGCAAGUGCAGCCU